CCUACGGGUGGCAGCAGUGGGGAAUAUUGCGCAAUGGGCGAAAGCCUGACGCAGCGACGCCGCGUGAGGGAUGAAGGUCUUCGGAUCGUAAACCUCUGUCAGCAGGGAAGUACGGUCACUGUGCUAAUCAGCAUUGAAUUUACGGUACCUGCAAAGGAAGCCCCGGGUAACUCCGUGCCAGCAGCCGCUGUAAUACGGAGGGUGCGAGCGUUAAUCGGAUUUACUGGGCGGAAAGCGCGCGUGUGCGGUAUGUCAAGUCAAGGGUGAAAUCCCCGCGCUCAACGUGGGAACUGCCUUUGAAACUGGCAGACUGGAGUGUGUGAGAGGAUAGUGGAAUUCGAGGUGUAGGAGUGAAAUCCGUAGAUAUCUGGAGGAACAUCAGUGGCGAAGGCGACUAUCUGGCACAUAACUGACGCUGAGGAGCGAAAGCGUGGGUAGCAAACAGGAUUAGAUACCCGGGUAGUC
Molecule: ribosomal RNA, 465 nt
Filed under: uncultured bacterium
Lineage: Bacteria
Description: partial 16S ribosomal RNA
Rfam family: Bacterial small subunit ribosomal RNA
Source: RNAcentral